RNAcentral lists this unclassified non-coding RNA (403 nucleotides) under Gaudium myrsinoides. Its description in RNAcentral is "Leptospermum myrsinoides partial external transcribed spacer". Lineage: Eukaryota; Viridiplantae; Streptophyta; Magnoliopsida; Myrtales; Myrtaceae. The record is from RNAcentral.
GUGCUUGUGCACCGAACUGCUUUCCUCCCGUUUGAUCAGUGAUUUGCUCCACGUUCUGACGUUGGGUGCAAAGCGGGGAGUUCCUGUGUUGCCUACCUAUCGAGAUGGAAAUCGGUUGCCUUCGUUGUGCCUUUCGUCCGCUCGGACGUUCGGAUGGACUGGACGGAAGCGCUUGUGUUUCCACGAACGUGUCGCAAGAUCGUUUCGAUGGACCACGAUCGCCUUCUCGUUCUCUCGGAUGCGGAAAGUCCCUAAUGGGCGUGGGUCAUCGGCCUUUGGUCCCGAAUCUGUAAGCGAUCGUCGCUCUACUACAUGGGAAUGACGCUCUCGCCUCGACUUCGACCACGCGGAGCUCCCGGGCUCCCUCGAUGGAUCGUGCGGGGCGGACGUCGGGAAGGAAUGC